AAAACUCUCCCACAAUUAUAUCCAUUAAGUCUGAUAUAGAUAUAUAUAUAUGUAUAUCUAUAUCAGACUUAAUGGAUAUAAUUGUGGGAGAGAAGA
This is a non-coding RNA of Pelobates cultripes (western spadefoot toad), 96 nucleotides long. NCBI's taxonomy places the organism in Eukaryota, Metazoa, Chordata, Amphibia, Anura, Pelobatidae. The record is from the annotation of a GenBank genome assembly.